ACCGUUUUGGUCUUAAACUUAUUAUUACUUCCUACCAAAAUUAUACAUGCAAGCCUCCACGCACCAGUGACUAUCUGCCCAAACUUCGGAGCAGGCAUCAGGUACACACCCCGUAGCCUAAAACGCCUAGCCCAGCCACACCCCCACGGGGCCCAGCAGUAAUUAACAUUAAGCAAUAAGCGACUACCCCAAGCUUGACUUAGUUAUGGUAAUACCAGGCCGGUGAAUUUCGUGCCAGCCACCGCGGUUAUACGAAAGGCCUAAAAUAAUACACCCGGCAAAAAGCGUGACUAAAGCACGCAAUCCCCCGUGCGACUUAAACCACAGACCAAGUUAUAAAACACACAAGACACACUAGUGAAACCCUUCCCCCGUCCCAUUAAAAAUUAACUCUUGACUCACGAAAACCAAGGAACAAACUAGGAUUAGAUACCCUACUAUGCUUGGUCAUAAACCUUGACAUAUUACAUGUCCGCCAGAGGACUACAAGUGAAAAACUUAAAACUCAAAAGACUUGACGGUGUCCCACAUCAACCUAGAGGAGCCUGUCCUAUAAUCGAUACUCCACGAAGUACCUCUCCUUUUCUAGCGACUUUUCACAGCCUAUAUACCGCCGUCGUCAGCCUACCCUAUGAAGGCCACCAAAUAGACAAACUAGUUUUACCCACGAAAACGUCAGGUCAAGGUGUAGCACAUGAAAAGGAAAGAGAUGGGCUACAUUUUCUAAUAAGAAAACACCACAUCACCCUGAAAAAGUGCCCAACGGUGGAUUUAGUAGUAAGCUGAGUAAGAACGCUCAACUGAACCAUGCUCUGGGACGCGUACACACCGCCCGUCACCCUCCUCCACCCCAUCCAAACCCCCUCCCUAAAUCACUUCCACCAAAACAGAUGAGGCAAGUCGUAACAUGGUAAGUGUACUGGAAAGUGCACUUGGACU
This 939-nucleotide non-coding RNA is filed under the name Diplodactylus vittatus. RNAcentral describes it as "12S rRNA". It matches the Rfam family "Bacterial small subunit ribosomal RNA". Lineage: Eukaryota; Metazoa; Chordata; Lepidosauria; Squamata; Diplodactylidae. The record is from RNAcentral.